RNAcentral lists this ribosomal RNA (492 nucleotides) under uncultured bacterium. RNAcentral's name for it is "partial 16S ribosomal RNA". It matches the Rfam family "Bacterial small subunit ribosomal RNA", at positions 29 to 507 of the family's 1533-position model. The record is from RNAcentral.
AGUGAACGCUGGCGGUAUGCCUAACACAUGCAAGUCGAACGGCAGCACAGUAAGAGCUUGCUCUUACGGGUGGCGAGUGGCGGACGGGUGAGGAAUACAUCGGCAUCUACUUUUUCGUGGGGGAUAACGUAGGGAAACUUACGCUAAUACCGCAUACGACCUACGGGUUAAAGCAGGGGAUCUUCGCACCUUGCGCGAUUGAAUGAGCCGAUGUCGGAUUAGCUAGUUGGCGGGGUAAAGGCCCACCAAGGCGACGAUCCGUAGCUGGUCUGAGAGGAUGAUCAGCCACACUGGAACUGAGACACGGUCCAGACUCCUACGGGAGGCAGCAGUGGGGAAUAUUGGACAAUGGGCGCAAGCCUGAUCCAGCCAUACCGCGUGGGUGAAGAAGGCCUUCGGGUUGUAAAGCCCUUUUGUUGGGAAAGAAAAGCAGCAGGUUAAUACCCCGCUGUUCUGACGGUACCCAAAGAAUAAGCACCGGCUAACUUCGUG